RNAcentral lists this ribosomal RNA (460 nucleotides) under uncultured bacterium. RNAcentral describes it as "partial 16S ribosomal RNA". It matches the Rfam family "Bacterial small subunit ribosomal RNA", at positions 338 to 795 of the family's 1533-position model. The record is from RNAcentral.
CCUACGGGUGGCAGCAGUAGGGAAUAUUGGGCAAUGGACGUACGCCUGAACCAGCAAAGUCGCGUGAGUGAAGACUGCCCUCUGGGUUGUAAACCUCGUUUGUCGGGGAGCAACACCAGCUACGUAUAGCCAGACUGAGAGUCCCUGAAGAACAAGCAUCGGCUAGCUCCGUGCCAGCAGCCGCGGGAAUACGGAGGAUGCGGGCUUUAUCCGGCUUUAUUGGGGUGAAAGGGGGCGUAGGCGGAAUGCCAAGUCAGCGGUAAAAUCGCGGGGCUAAACCUCGCUCCGCAGUUGAAACUGGGGUGCUGGAGUGGGCGAGAAGUAGGUGGAAUGCGUGGUGUAGCGGUGAAAUGCAUAGAUAUAACGCAGAACUCCGAUUGCGAAGGCAGCACACCGGAGCCUAACUGACGCUGAAGCACGAAAGCGUGGGGAGCAAACAGGAUUAGAUACCCGGGUAGUC